This 442-nucleotide ribosomal RNA is filed under the name uncultured bacterium. RNAcentral describes it as "partial 16S ribosomal RNA". It matches the Rfam family "Bacterial small subunit ribosomal RNA", at positions 338 to 795 of the family's 1533-position model. The record is from RNAcentral.
CCUACGGGGUGCAGCAGUGGGGAAUAUUGGGCAAUGGGCGCAAGCCUGACCCAGCAACGCCGCGUGAAGGAAGAAGGCUUUCGGGGUGUAAACUUCUUUUAAUAGGGAAGAGCAGAAGACGGUACCUCUUGAAUAAGCCAAGGCUAACUACGUGCCAGCAGCCGCGGUAAUACGUAGGUGGGAAGCGUUUUCCGGAUUUACUGGGUUUAAAGGGCGUGCAUGCGGGAAGACAAGUCAGAUGUGAAAUCCAGCGGCUCAAACUCUGAACUGCAUUUGAAACUGUUUUUCUUGAGUACCGGAGAGGUAACCGGAAUUCCUUGUGUAGCGGUGAAAUGCGUAGAUAUAAGGCAGAACACCAGUGGCGAAGGCGGAUGACUGGACGGCAACUGACGGUGAGGCGCGAAAGCGUGGGGAGCAAACAGGAUUAGAUACCCUAGUAGUC